This 497-nucleotide ribosomal RNA is filed under the name uncultured bacterium. RNAcentral describes it as "partial 16S ribosomal RNA". It matches the Rfam family "Bacterial small subunit ribosomal RNA", at positions 28 to 507 of the family's 1533-position model. The record is from RNAcentral.
GAUGAACGCUGGCGGCGUGCCUAAUACAUGCAAGUCGAGCGAACAGAUAAGGAGCUUGCUCCUUUGACGUUAGCGGCGGACGGGUGAGUAACACGUGGGUAACCUACCUAUAAGACUGGAAUAACUCCGGGAAACCGGGGCUAAUGCCGGAUAACAUUUAGAACCGCAUGGUUCUAAAGUGAAAGAUGGUUUUGCUAUCACUUAUAGAUGGACCCGCGCCGUAUUAGCUAGUUGGUAAGGUAACGGCUUACCAAGGCAACGAUACGUAGCCGACCUGGGAGGGUGAUCGGCCACACUGGAACUGAGACACGGUCCAGACUCCUACGGGAGGCAGCAGUAGGGAAUCUUCCGCAAUGGGCGAAAGCCUGACGGAGCAACGCCGCGUGAGUGAUGAAGGUCUUCGGAUCGUAAAACUCUGUUAUUAGGGAAGAACAAAUGUGUAAGUAACUGUGCACGUCUUGACGGUACCUAAUCAGAAAGCCACGGCUAACUACGUG